UCAUAUGCUUGUCUCWAAGCUUAAGCCAUGCAAGUGUAAGUUCAUGCCGUAAACGAAUGGUGAAACCGCGAAUGGCUCAGGAACCGGACCUAAACCUCGGGACCGUAUUCCUCACCGCGAGGAGAGUGGAUAACUGUGGCAAUUCUAGAGCUAAUACAUGCAACCGAAGCCGCGAUCGCACAUUAGGGGCGACUCGUUCGUUCCUUUUCCGCAACUGGUCGCGGCGCAAAUAUUAGACUGAGACCGACGGCGUUCGACGGCGCUCGCGCUUUCAGCGCGUGGUGUCGCGGCGCCCGCUUCCGAUUUUGGUGACUCUGGAUAACUGUCAGUACGAUCGCACGGGCCGGGAUCGAACUCGGCCUUCGCGCGACGGGUCCCCCGCGAGUCCGCCCUAUCAACUGUCGACGGCCCGGUAAGUGCCGACCGUGGUGGCAACGGGUAACGGGGAAUCAGGGUUCGAUUCCGGAGAGGGAGCAUGCGAAACGGCUACCACAUCCAAGGAAGGCAGCAGGCGCGCAAAUUACCCACUCCCGGCACGGGGAGGUAGUGACGAAAAAUAACGACGCGGGACUCUGUCGAGGCCCCGCGAUCGGAAUGAGUACACUUCAAAUCCGUUAACGAGGAUCGACCGGAGGGCAAGUCUGGUGCCAGCAGCCGCGGUAAUUCCAGCUCCGGUAGCGUAUAUUAAAAUUGUUGCGUUUGAAAAGCUCGUAGUCGGAAUUCGGGUCUCGAAAACGUGCGCCAGCACGUUCGGGGCGACGGCGCCGUCGUCGGGUGUCUUUUAGGAGGUGCCGGGUUUUAGAGGAAGGCGUGGGGCUUCUCGAACGGGGUUUGACGUGGGCUGUCGCGUCGGUCGUCGUGCGUUCACGCGUGCGUCGCAACGCGCGUCGCUCCGUCUUUCCUUUUUUUCUUUUUUUUCCCCUCUCCCUCGCCUGCAUCGUCCCCCCGCUUCGGUCGUCCGUUCGCACUCCCGGCCCUAUUCGCCGGUGCGUGCUACGGUCGGGCCAGUCGAGCUCUCGGUCUCGUUCCGAUCUCACGGUUUGCCGCGCGUCCGGCACCCCGCCGCUUUCCCUCGCAAUCGCGGGUGGUUUUCGGUUCGAAUUUUUUUUUUUUUUCUUUUUUUCUUUUCACGAAGUCAAAAAAACGAAUGAAAACGAAAAAAAAGGGGUUACUGCCGUCCGCCGGUGACGCAAGCCGACCCGCACGGUUCCUCCGAGGGUGCUCUUCAUCGAGUGUCCGAGGCGGCCGGUACGUUCACUGUGAAAAAAUUAGAGUGCUCAGAGCGAGCCGCGACUGGCUUGCAUACGAAAAGCAUGGAAUGAUGGAAAACGGCCUCGUCCGCGCGUCAUCCGUCGGUCUCCGUUCACGACGAGGCAAUGAUCGAAGGGAGCGAUCGGGGCCACUCGUAUUGCGACGUUAGAGGUGAAAUUCUUGGAUCGUCGCAAGACGCACUGCAGCGACGGCGUGUGGCAAGCACGUUUUCCUCGAUCAAGAGCGAAAGUCGGAGGUUCGAAGACGAUCAGAUACCGUCGUAGUUCCGACCGUAAACGAUGCCGACUGGCGCUCCGCCGGCGUUCGCUUCGAUGACCCGGCGGGGAGCCUGCGCGGGAAACCAUAGUCGGUUCCGGGGGGAGUAUGGUUGCAAAACAGAAACUUAAAGGAAUUGACGGAAGGGCACCACCAGGAGUGGAGCCUGCGGCUUAAUUUGACUCAACACGGGAAAACUCACCCGGUCCGGACACCGGUAGGAUUGACAGAUCGAUAGCUCUUUCUCGAUUCGGUGGGUGGUGGUGCAUGGCCGUUCUUAGUUGGUGGAGCGAUCCGUCUGGUUGAUUCCGAUAACGAACGAGACUCCGGCCUGCUAACUAGCGCGCCGAUUAGUGCUUUUCCGGUAACGYGGCGGCGCCGAAGCCGUCGUCGGUCGGCUCUGCGCGUGCGUGGUCGUUCGCUUUCGGGUCGCCCCGAUUCAGCGGUGGCGGCGGCUCGCUUCGGUGAUCGCCGUCCCGCUCGAAGAAAAGGUUACCCGGGGGUCCGUAGCGGCCCGUCGCGCGAGCGCGGCGCCGGCACGCCGUCGCGUCCGGGCCAGUCGGUUGGCGAACGCAGCGCUUCUUAGAGGGACGGGCGGCAGAAAGCCGCACGAGGCGGAGCGAUAACAGGUCUGUGAUGCCCUUAGAUGUCCGGGGCCGCACGCGCGCUACACUGGAGGUAUCAGCGGGCGCUUCUCCCCCGGCCCGAGAGGGUCGGGAAACCUCUGAACCACCUCCCGUGAUAGGGAUCGGGGCCUGGAACCAACCCCGUGAACGAGGAAUUCCCGGUAGGCGCGGGUCAUCAGCCCGCGUCGAUCACGUCCCUGCCCUUUGUACACACCGCCCGUCGCUACUACCGAUCGAACGGUCCGGUGAGGUCCUCGGAUCUGGCCGACGAGUUCGCAGGCCGCGCGACGUGCGUUCGGGCUUACGCUCGUCGCCGUCGUUGUCGGUGCGCUCUCCGAUGGCCCGGAGAAGACGACCGAACCCGAUCGCUUAGAGGAAGUAAAAGUCGUAACAAGGUUUCC
This 2554-nucleotide ribosomal RNA is filed under the name Ocythoe tuberculata. RNAcentral describes it as "18S ribosomal RNA". It matches the Rfam family "Eukaryotic small subunit ribosomal RNA". The record is from RNAcentral. Lineage: Eukaryota; Metazoa; Mollusca; Cephalopoda; Octopoda; Ocythoidae.